GAUUCGUCACACUAUCAUUAACUGAAUCCAUAGGUUAAUGAGGCGAACCGGGGGAACUGAAACAUCUAAGUACCCCGAGGAAAAGAAAUCAACCGAGAUUCCCCCAGUAGCGGCGAGCGAACGGGGAGGAGCCCAGAGCCUGAAUCAGCAUGUGUGUUAGUGGAAGCGUCUGGAAAGGCGCGCGAUACAGGGUGACAGCCCCGUACACAAAAGCGCAUGUGCUGUGAGCUCGAUGAGUAGGGCGGGACACGUGGUAUCCUGUCUGAAUAUGGGGGGACCAUCCUCCAAGGCUAAAUACUCCUGACUGACCGAUAGUGAACCAGUACCGUGAGGGAAAGGCGAAAAGAACCCCGGCGAGGGGAGUGAAAAAGAACCUGAAACCGUGUACGUACAAGCAGUGGGAGCACCCUUCGGGGUGUGACUGCGUACCUUUUGUAUAAUGGGUCAGCGACUUAUAUUCUGUAGCAAGGUUAACCGUAUAGGGGAGCCGGAGGGAAACCGAGUCUUAAUUGGGCGUUAAGUUGCAGGGUAUAGACCCGAAACCCGGUGAUCUAGCCAUGGGCAGGUUGAAGGUUGGGUAACACUAACUGGAGGACCGAACCGACUAAUGUUGAAAAAUUAGCGGAUGACCUGUGGCUGGGGGUGAAAGGCCAAUCAAACCGGGAGAUAGCUGGUUCUCCCCGAAAGCUAUUUAGGUAGCGCCUCGUGAAUUCAUCUCCGGGGGUAGAGCACUGUUUCGGCUAGGGGGCCAUCCCGGCUUACCAACCCGAUGCAAACUGCGAAUACCGGAGAAUGUUAUCACGGGAGACACACGGCGGGUGCUAACGUCCGUCGUGAAGAGGGAAACAACCCAGACCGCCAGCUAAGGUCCCAAAGUCAUGGUUAAGUGGGAAACGAUGUGGGAAGGCCCAGACAGCCAGGAUGUUGGCUUAGAAGCAGCCAUCAUUUAAAGAAAGCGUAAUAGCUCACUGGUCGAGUCGGCCUGCGCGGAAGAUGUAACGGGGCUAAACCAUGCACCGAAGCUGCGGCAGCGACGCUGAUGCGU
RNAcentral lists this ribosomal RNA (1045 nucleotides) under Salmonella enterica subsp. enterica serovar Typhimurium. RNAcentral describes it as "partial 23S ribosomal RNA". It matches the Rfam family "Bacterial large subunit ribosomal RNA", at positions 137 to 1221 of the family's 2925-position model. The record is from RNAcentral. Lineage: Bacteria; Pseudomonadati; Pseudomonadota; Gammaproteobacteria; Enterobacterales; Enterobacteriaceae.